GGGGUUGUGGCUCAGAGGUAGAGCGUUUGCCUAGCAUGCAUGGGGCACUGGGUUCGAUCUUCAGCACCACA
This 71-nucleotide transfer RNA is filed under the name Marmota monax (woodchuck). RNAcentral's name for it is "tRNA.Ala". Lineage: Eukaryota; Metazoa; Chordata; Mammalia; Rodentia; Sciuridae. The record is from RNAcentral.